AAUGAUAGGGGAAAUCUCUUUUGGCAGAGAGGAGUAGCUAGAGAGCUUGAACAUGCUUGCUUCUAGUUUGCCAAAGAAGAUUUGCCCUGCCAUU
This 94-nucleotide microRNA precursor is filed under the name Medicago truncatula (barrel medic). RNAcentral's name for it is "miR399k stem-loop (mtr-MIR399k)". Its record names the gene mtr-MIR399k. Lineage: Eukaryota; Viridiplantae; Streptophyta; Magnoliopsida; Fabales; Fabaceae. The record is from miRBase by way of RNAcentral.